Cladochytrium tenue is the source of this 93-nucleotide non-coding RNA. The record is from the annotation of a GenBank genome assembly. Lineage: Eukaryota; Fungi; Chytridiomycota; Chytridiomycetes; Cladochytriales; Cladochytriaceae.
ACCCAGGUGGUCCAAUGGUUAGGGCGAUUCCCCCUUUGCUGGCGUUAGCCGGUAAGAUUGGGAAAGAUCAGGGUUCAAGUCCCUGCCUGGGCA